AGCAGCGGUUCUCAACCUGUGGGUCGCGACCCCUUUGGGGGUCGAACGACCCUUUCACAGGGGUCGCCUAUGACCAUCAGAAAACACAUAUAUAAUUGCAUAUUGUUUUGUGAUUAAUCACUAUGCUUUAAUUAUGCUCAAUUUGUAACAAGAAAUUGGGGGUCACCGCAACAUGAGGAACUGUAUUAAAGGGUCGCGGCAUUAGGAAGGUUGAGAACCACUGCUCUAAGUCAACAAGUGUUGGGGGAAUGAAAGAUAGACCACUCUUGUGCCAGAUCCUGUGCUCUCCUGGUUGUGGGAAAAGCACAACAGAUAUGAGAGAAUAAACGCAUUCAGUUAGAA
Myotis daubentonii (Daubenton's bat) is the source of this 342-nucleotide long non-coding RNA. RefSeq lists it as uncharacterized. Lineage: Eukaryota; Metazoa; Chordata; Mammalia; Chiroptera; Vespertilionidae. The record is from RefSeq and is a predicted model, not a curated record.